ACAGCAGUCGCCACGGGAAUACGUAGGUGGCAAGCGUUGUCCGGAAUUAUUGGGCGUAAAGGGCUCGCAGGCGGUUUCUUAAGUCUGAUGUGAAAGCCCCCGGCUCAACCGGGGAGGGUCAUUGGAAACUGGGAAACUUGAGUGCAGAAGAGGAGAGUGGAAUUCCACGUGUAGCGGUGAAAUGCGUAGAGAUGUGGAGGAACACCAGUGGCGAAGGCGACUCUCUGGUCUGUAACUGACGCUGAGGAGCGAAAGCGUGGGGAGCGAACAGGAUUAGAUACCCCAGUAGUCCCUGUCUCUUAUAA
This 305-nucleotide ribosomal RNA is filed under the name uncultured bacterium. Its description in RNAcentral is "partial 16S ribosomal RNA". It matches the Rfam family "Bacterial small subunit ribosomal RNA", at positions 505 to 809 of the family's 1533-position model. The record is from RNAcentral.